This is a long non-coding RNA of Medicago truncatula (barrel medic), 1544 nucleotides long. RefSeq lists it as uncharacterized. The record is from RefSeq and is a predicted model, not a curated record. NCBI's taxonomy places the organism in Eukaryota, Viridiplantae, Streptophyta, Magnoliopsida, Fabales, Fabaceae. The transcript has 4 exons.
GAGGGAAAAAUUAGGGUAAGUGAUUAGGGUUAGGGAUUGCAACAGACAAGCUUUAGUAAGAAAGAUUCAUUCAUUCAUUCCCUCCGUGUUUCAAAAUGUCGAAAUCGGAACAGGAACCGAAAUCGAAACGGCUGAAAUCGGGAUCGGAACAGAAACACAAUGAAGAUUCAUAUGAGGAUGAGGAGGAUAAGCAGAAAUUCAUGAAAUAAGAUUCAUCUGUGGAGGAGGAGGAGAAACGGCUGAAAUCGGAACCGAAACCGGAUCCAGAUGAUUCUGAGUAUAGUGAGGAAGACGAGGAUAACUUGUCUGUGCAUGACAAUGACAGUUUUCCAUUUUGGUAUAAGCGUCGUGAUGGUACUUUGUAUACAAAUAAGGCUUGGAAGGAUCGUGAGGCUAAAAUUCUUGACUAUAAAAAUCGCUCUAGCAAACUAAGUGUCUACGAUGCUAUCCACUGUCCACCAGGUUGUGCUGGCGGUGUUGUACCCCUCGACUUAAGCGAUGAUGUGCUCCGUACUCUCAAACCCCUCUGCAUUGCUGCUUUGAAGAUUUACAAUCAAACAAAUAUUAAGCAGGGUCCAACUUUUGUGUUUGAUAAAGUUGUCAAGUGUACCCAUCCUGGUGCUACUUCUUUAUAUGCUCCUAGGGUAUAUUACAUUACUUUUAAAGCAAAAGCAGAAGCAAUACAGAAAAAGGGAGGAAGACCUGCUCUAACAACUUUCCAGACUCAUGUAUCGCAGCGUAAAGAUAAAGAUCCUGUUGUCAAAGAGUGUUUCAUUAAAAAAAUCUAAUACAAUCCGCCAUGGUUAUGGAAUCUACCUGCCAUGGAUGAUAUCUCUCACUGUUUCAUAUGAACAUAUCUAUGUCUUGAAUCCUUUAGAGUUUCAUUUCUUUCUUAAUUUGAUCUGCGAACCAUUAUGCCUGUAUUUUCUCCCAUUGAAUGACUCCAAGUUGUUAUGUCAUAGUCAUUUAUUACUUCCAUUGCUAAAAAUUCAUGUCUCAUAAUUCAUGAUUGUGGAAAGCUGAAACCGUGUAUUAGAUCUUAACCUGAUCUGAAAUUAAGUUAACGUGAUCUUUGCCUUUGUGGUUUGAUAUUUGGGCUCUCUCUCCCCUCUUUUCAUAUCUUGGAUUUUGGUGUUAUCAAUCACAUAUGGAGGAUAACAAAAAAUCUGCCCUGGUGCCACUAUCCUUCACAAAUUGGCCACACGGUUGUAAAAAAAAAAUCCGCCACUGCAAUCGUCCAUGGCACUAGUUGAAAAUACUCUUGCUGGUGGUAAAUUAGGGAAAUUGUGUUUUUGUUAGGGACCAUGAGGAAAUAGACCCCAUUUUUGGAAUGUUUAUCUUAGUAAACGUUUCAAGGGGCACUGUUAAGCUGGGAAAUGAGGGAGAGUAGUGGCAUUAGGUGCGAGGGUAAUGUGUGACUCAUUCUGUUAAGUCGUUAGAGUCAGUUAGGAGAAAUUUUUUCUCUGGUUUACAUUUUGUUUUUCCUGCAUUUCCACCAUUGUAACAGUACAUAAUACACAAUUGUUACCUCACUUUUCUGAUUU